RNAcentral lists this unclassified non-coding RNA (1191 nucleotides) under Hevea brasiliensis (rubber tree). Lineage: Eukaryota; Viridiplantae; Streptophyta; Magnoliopsida; Malpighiales; Euphorbiaceae. The record is from RNAcentral.
CUUUGCUGAGCUAGUUGGAACCCUGUAUCAAAAUGGAUAUUAAAUGCCUGAGUUACUCCCAAAAUAUCCACUUUUGUGAUGAUAAUAAUAGAAGUAAAAUAAAAAUAAAAAUAGGCAGCAAAAAGCUGAGAGAAUAUAUGUAACUAAAACCACUAGACAAAUAGUGAGCAAAUAUUUUCUUUAAAAAAAAGAAGAAAAGAUAGUUACCCAUGCAAGGAUCACAUCUAUCUUAAGUGUUUAUGCAGAAGACCAUAGGUAAUGGAUAUAUAUAAAAAUUAAAACCAACAAUUCAAGUUAUCAUUGCAUGAAACUAGCUACAAAAUACAUUAACCAAUAUACCAAGUCUAAGUGCUUAUAAAAGAGAAAUGGAUUACAUAAAUCACAAAUCAAAAGAGGAAUACCAUGCAACACAAAAAUAUAAAAAACAAGUGCAUCUAAAUAGCAAAACCUAUACAUGCUAAGGACCUUUAAAAGAAAGUAUCGAUGGAUUAAAUAAAUUUGUAAAUGUUUGAUAAAAUACCUGAUCAGGUGUCAUAAUUUCCCUAAAUGUAAGAUUUAUACUGACCUAACGUCUUUAGAAUAUUCAUCAGAGAUAUGUGCUCAAAAACCUUGUCAUUAGCAAAUUUAAAUUUCAUGAAGGCUCCUUAUUGAUGGACUAGUUGCCCAGCAGGCUGUCUUAGGCAGAAUAACAUAAUGAAGCAUGCCCAUUGAUGAAUUAAUAAAUGUGAUUAGUGUUUGGUAUAUUAUACAUGGUCAAAUUCACCAAUAUGUUAAUAAUGGACAAAUUUUUCCAUGAAAAAUAUUCAUGAUAGUCAUCAAAUAUUGAUGUGUAUGUAAAAAAACAGAAACUUGCAGAGGUACAGUGCAACAUGUAAAGCCAAUCAGCAGGGCAUGAUAUUCUUUUGAUGACGACGAUGAGGUGCAACCAAUGGUGCAGAAGGUUCACAAGUGCAGCAUCAAAAACUAAACCAAAUAGAAACUACCACAGUUCCUUGAUUGAAAAUCUGUGGACACAGUUUGGAAGUGGAAUGAUAUGAUGCCUAGUGCCUAGUAGGUUAUAGACUCACUAUCACUACAGCUAACAUAGUGUAUUCAACACACCAAAAACCAAAAAACUUUAGAGAAGUUAUAAGGAAUUUUUAUUAGAGUUUAGCAGCACUUUGCAAAUUGCAAUCUAUUAGCAGAUGCAUU